GAUGAAGAACGUAGCGAAAUGCGAUAAGUAAUGCGAAUUGCAGAAUUCAGUGAGUCAUCGAAUCUUUGAACGCACAUUGCGCCCUGUGGUAUUCCGCAGGGCAUGCCUGUUCGAGCGUCAUUUCAACCCUCAAGCCCCGCUUGGUGUUGGGCCCCGCCCGCUGUGGCCGGCCCUAAGACAGUGGCGGCGCCGCCUGGCCCUCAGCGUAGUACAUCUCUCGCUCCAGGGUCCGGUGGCCGCCUGCCAGAACCCCCCAACUCUGUGGUUGACCUCGGAUCAGGUAGGGAUACCCGCUGAACUUAAGCAUAUCAAUAAGCGGAGGA
Molecule: unclassified non-coding RNA, 323 nt
Filed under: soil metagenome
Description: partial contains 5.8S ribosomal RNA, internal transcribed spacer 2, and large subunit ribosomal RNA
Rfam family: 5.8S ribosomal RNA (bases 1-120)
Source: RNAcentral